RNAcentral lists this long non-coding RNA (866 nucleotides) under Citrus sinensis (sweet orange). Its description in RNAcentral is "long non-coding RNA (CSIN_LNC000261)". Lineage: Eukaryota; Viridiplantae; Streptophyta; Magnoliopsida; Sapindales; Rutaceae. The record is from RNAcentral.
GAUCUUCACAAACCUUCACCGCUGGAAUCUCGUCCCCGCUGCUGCUGCUACUGCUGCUCAUCCUUCACGAACCUUCACCGCUGGAAUCGUGUCCCCGCUGCUGCUGCCGCCGCUGCUCAUCCUUCAUGAACCGUCACCGCUGGAAUCGCGUCCCCGCUGCUGCUCAUCCUUCACGAACCUUCACCACUGGAAUCUCGUCCCCGCUGCUGCUGCUGCUGCCAUCUGACUGCUGUUGUGAGCUGCUGCUGGUAACUUGAGCUGCUUGAGCUUGAGCUGUUUUUGCAGAGAACUUGAGCUGCUGCUGGCGUGAAAAGGUAAUCAAACAAACAGCUGCUGCUGCUGGCGUUAAAAGCUCCCUUUGUUUUUACUGGUGCCAUUGGUUUUAACCAAUUUCCACGAUUCUUCUUCGACUCCAAUUUGGAGAUAACAGUGCAAUUUGGUGAUGAACAUAAAUAAAAUCAAAACUCAAGUUUCGAUUAAUUUUAUUUAAUUUUAAUUUGUAAAGUGCCACAUAAUUCAACUUGUGAUUGUGUUUUGGCUUUUCACGUGCUAUUGACACGCUUUCUUAGAAAUUUGUUUCGUUUUCUUUGAAGGCAAAUUUGAAGAACACGUUGAUUAAUAUGUUUUGCCUUUUUUAUUGUCUUCACAGCAGAAUAAACAAAUGGCCGUUUGCAGCAUGCAGUUUUAAGCUUGAAAUAAACUUGUGCUUAUAAAAUUAUUCCCCUGGUGAUCUUUGUCCUUUUUAUAACUUUGGGAAUGGGAAAAUGAAUUUUUGUAGUGUCUGGUUUCCAUGUGCAUGUGGAUUUCCCAUUUAGUUCCUCUGAUUGUUGUGGUAUGUUCAGAAUUUUGUAAAAACACUGUGAUUG